Molecule: ribosomal RNA, 382 nt
Filed under: uncultured eukaryote
Lineage: Eukaryota
Description: partial 18S ribosomal RNA
Rfam family: Eukaryotic small subunit ribosomal RNA
Source: RNAcentral
UGUAAGCGUAUACCAAAGUUGUUGCAGUUAAAACGCUCGUAGUCGGAAUUUGGCAGUUCCGGAAGUGUGCACGUCGUGUGCGCACUUUGCGGGGACUGCUUUUGUGGUCUUGCGUAGGAUGAGGCACUUUCAUUAGUGAACGUCCUCACGCAACCACUCUUUACUGUGAGAAAAUCAGAGUGCUCAAAGCAGGCAUUUGCCGUGAAUGUAUUAGCAUGGAAUAAUAGAAUAGGACUCGGUUCUAUUUUGUUGGUUUGUUGGGACUGAGUAAUGAUUAAGAGGGACAGUUGGGGGCAUUUGUAUCCCGGCGCUAGAGGUGAAAUUCUUAGAUUGCCGGAAGACAAACUGCUGCGAAAGCGUCUGCCAAGGAUGUUUUCAUUGA